CUAUGGAAGUUCCUGGGACCAGGGAUAGAAUCUGAGCCACAGCUGCAACCUACGCCACAGUGCUGACAAAACCACAUCCUUUAACUCACUGUGCCAGGUGGGGAUCAAACCUACACCUCUGCAGCAACCCAAGCCACUGAAGUCAGAUUCUUAACUCACUGUGCUACUUUUGCUCAGUUUUAAAUUGAGGUUUUUAUUAUUAUUAUUAUUUUGUUGUUUUAGAAGUUCUCUGUGUAUUCUGAAUAUUAAUCCCUUCUUUUGACAAGUAUUUUUUUUUCCACUCUAAGUUGCCUUUUUACUCUGUUGAUAACAACGUUUGUUACUCAAGUUUUAAAAUUUUCAUGUAGUCCAAUUUGUCUGUUUUCUCUUUUGUUGCCUGUGCCUUUGGUAUCAUAUCCAAGAAAUCUUUGCCAGAUCCAAGGUCAUGAAGAUGUUGAGCUCUCUCUUCUUCUGAGAAUUUUAUAGAUUGAGGUUUAACAUUCAAGUCUUGGAUCCAUUACAAAUAAAUUUUUUUUUUUGGUCUUUUUAGGGCCACACCCACGGCAUAUGGAAUUCCCAGACUAGGGAUUGAAUCAGAGCAUAACUGCUGGCCUACGCCACAGCCACAACGAUGCAGGAUCCAAGCUGCAUCUGCCAUCUACACCACAGUUCAGGGCAACUCUAGAUCCCCAACCCUCUGAGUGAGGCCAGGGAUCUAACCUGGGUCCUCAUGGAUACUAGUCAGGUUUGUUACCUCUGAGCCACAAUAGAGGGAGAGGGUCACAUCAACAGUGAACACAUCUACUAUGGCAAUGACUGUGUACUUCAACAUCUCCGUGACCAGAAGUAGCAGUCAUUGCACUGAUUCCCAAUAUUUGGAGGAUAGGGUCCUUUUUGCCCACCCUGGCUCCUGAAAGCUACAUGCAGGUUUGUUCCUUUUCAAGAACAUAUGCUAAUUUUCCUGGAAUGAGUAGGGGAUGAGUGGCUGAUUACUGUGCCAAAGGUGGGAAAUGGGUAGCGGUUACUGCACUGGGUGCUGAAAUGGACCAAUAUUAACCACAAUUUAUCACCCAAGCCUAUAGGAAAACACACUCUCCCCAGUACCAUUUCUGUGCCAGUGCUCAUAUAUCCAUUAUCUCAGUUAAGUCUCACAACAAGCUAGUGCAGGAGAUACUCUUUUUACUUUCAGUGUGUAGAGGAGGAAAUCAAGUGUUAUAAAAGUGUGGUCUCCUGAGUAAGAACAUUCAUCUCAUAAGUGUUGCCUGAGAUCUGAAACCAUGGAUAUCCAACUCCAGAGGUAUUAAUAUUAUUGCCUGUCUUCCCCACCCAUUCUAGAUUUGAGUUUAUCAUCUCUCCUGCAACAACCCUAUUGCCUUUGUAUGGGUUUCUAUUGAUGCCAUAUGAGAUUACCACAAAUUUAGCACCUUAUUUAUUACACACAUUUAUUACCUCACAGUUCUGUGGGUCAGAAGUUCCAGGGUGCUGGACUGACUUCUCGGCUUUGGUCUCACAAGAACAAAAUCAAGGUCUCAGGCAGACCAGAGGAUCUGGAGAAAAAUCUGUUCAUAGGCUCAGUUAGAAUAUCGGCAAAAUUCAAUUCCGAGUGGUUGAAGGAUGGAGGUCCCUAUUUUCUCCCUAGUGGUUGGCCAAGGAUUGUUCUAGAGGCCUCCAUAUUCCCUGGUUUGUGGCCCCUCAUGUUCCAAGUCAGUAGGAGCAGGUUAAGUCCUUCUCACACUUUGAAUUGCUAUAACUUUCCCUCUGCCUUAUCUCUCCUAUUUCCAGCCACAGAAAUAUCUCUGCUUUUAAGGACUAUUGUGAUUAAAUUGGACCCAUGUGGAUAAUCCAGGAUAGCCUCCUUAUUUUAAGGCCCUUAACUGUAAUGCAAUCCGCAAAGUCCCUUUUGCUAUGUUAUAUAACACGCUGCCAGAUUUCAGGUUUUAGGCCAUAGACAUCUCUGGGGACCUUCCUGUCCACCAUCCCUUGAACUUCACAUCACUCAAUUGUAUCACCCCUUUCUUUCUUUGUCAUAUCAGUAAUAUUUUCUAUUCUUCUUACAGUCACUUAAAUUUGUGGUAUUGUACUUUUUUGACAUUUUCUUCCUGUAUCAACUCUGACAUCACCCUAAGAUAUAUUUGUGGCCACUCUGACCUUCUUUUUCACUACCAAGUAUUUUGAACUCCAGUGUACUUUUCAUGGUCAUGCUUUGUUUUGUGCUUCCAAAUGGGAACCUGCAGAAAGAAGUAGAAGUUGUCACUCAGAUGCAUAUGAGGCUGAAUUUUGAUAACAAGAUUACCGGCUUUUAUUUGAUAGUUUGUGUGCGCAUAUUGGAUUAAAAUCAAAUUUAAGAAGCAUGAACAAUACCUGGUAAUAGAGGAUAUGAUUAUGCAGCAUCCAUCAAAACAUGUCAGUAAACUGAUUUUUAAAAAAUCAAGAGUAAACAAUUUCAUAGACUCAAAUGUCAGGUUUUGGUAGAAAGAAAUAUGAUUUUGGAAUGAAACCUUUUAACAGUUCUGUGGGAUGACAGGAAUUGAUUCUGGCAUUGAUGUUUGAAUUCCCUUGCUGCUUUUAAAAACAUAUUAAGCAGGAGAUCAGACUAAAUUUGGUUACAUCAAUAUGAUUUUAGAGAGAGAAUAUGAUUUACAUGCUGUAUAAAACCCAUUUUCUCCAUUAGGGAUAGAGAAAUGGGCCAUCUUCGUGAUGAAGUCAUAUAUGAUCUCAGUUAAAGAGGAGCCAUGGAGGUGCUCUUGUAUGUAAUGAAGACUUAAGAAGAUGCUAAGAUUUUCUCUGUGGGUUGAUGUUUUACUGCAUCAAUUUAUCCACUGUAGCUACCCGGGAGGCACCUAUCCCAUUGUUUCUGGACUGCCACCAAAGUGCCAGCCACAAAUUUUCAUAUUUUACAAUAGGAGAAAUGGCAUCUUGUAAAAUGAGAUUUUUAUAAAUUACACAUAAAAAUAAGCUAUUCAAGCCCUGAGAAAAGUUUUUUUUUUUAAUUGAGCUUGACUUUACUUCCUGAAUCCAAUCACACAGCUCAAACAGUUUGUAAAUUUUUCAAACAUAAAUAAUGUUUUUGUUUUUUUAAAAAAAAUCACAUUGUGGAGGUUUUUCUGAUUUAGUAGGUUUAGAGUAUUUAGAAGGUCAGGAAUCUGAAUGUUUAAUAAAUACCCCAUCCACCCCAUCUAAUUCUGUUGAUGAUCAUCACAGAUGGACCGUGCUUUGAGUAAUAAUGUUCAAGUGCUACUUUUCCCAGCUGCUUUUUCAAAUUAUGGGAGAGGGAGAAAGGAAAAAAAAAAAAAAGGAAGGGAGAGAAGGGGGAAACAAGAAGGAAGGAAAAGAACUAAAACUCUGACCUUCAAAAACAAAAACAAAGAAAGUGUGUUCCGUGUUCUGUCUCCCUACUCCCUCUUAUACCACAGACCUAAUAAUAAUACCUCCAACUAAAAGUCAAAGUUCAUUUUUCAUUAAGAAUUCAUAGCUUCUGGAAAGCUGUGAGGCUCUAAGAGCUCUUCAAUGACUCAAGUGUAAAUGCUUCUAAAAGGCUAAAGUAAGAGCCAAAGUUCAAGCCAUGUCCCCCAUAUCUCCCUGGAAUGGGCUUCUAUUCAAAUAGAUAUAAUAGCAAUUUACUUUCUCUUUAUUAUUCCCCUUUCAAAAACACCAAAAAAAAAUCAUAUAUUAUAGUCUCAGUGAAUGGUUACCCUGAUUAUUUCAAAAUGCAAAUGAUUAUAGAAAUUUGGAGCUGGGGCAAUAAUGACAAAUCCUUACUGACAGUGUAGUCAUUGAAAAAUCAUUGGAGCAAGGUACCCAUUCAAGAGUUUUAAUUUGCAAUCAAGUCAAGAGCUAUUCUAGGGAAGCAAGAAACUGUUUGAGGGACAGAAGUUCAACCCAAAAUGGGAAAGCAACCCAAUAAGGGAGCCAUGAAGAAUAUCCAAGAGAUUAACAUGUAAAGCCAAUCUAUCAAGAUUUUCAAGUUACUAAAUGAGGUCACACUGAUGAAUGUCCUAUAGGUAGUCUUUCUCAAGCAAGUGAUUUAGAUCCUUUUAAUGAAAUAUAACACUGAACACAGGAAGUAAAUAUCCAAUUGUAAGAAUAUGCUACUUGCUUUCAACUUUAACACUUAUUCAGCAAUUAUUUGAUGUAAGUGUCAUGCUAUAAGGUUGGGAAUGAGAGGUUGUAUAAUUAAUAAGACAUGGCGUGAUGCCCUCUAAGGAACUCACAAUCCAGCAGGGAUCUAACUGUGAGUAAAUAUGGAACACUCCAUUCUUCGGAUUCAAAAAGGAAAUGCGAGCAAGAAAAUAAAAGGAACAUUUUUUUAGUGCUUCCUCCCAUGCCUGGCAUUAUGCUAAGUUGUGUGUAUUUGUUAUGUAUUGUUGGUCAAAUAAGUGGCCACUUUUCCAUUAUAUCCUAGAAGCAUAUUGCUGGAAUGUAAACAAACAAUAAAAAUAACCUUCAGUUUCUUGAAGCCUUCCUCAUUUCUAAGUUCAUAGCUUGUUUUACUACAAAAUAUCACCUUAUCAGGAAAUACCUUACUGUCUAAAUAUCCAAUAGCAAAUUCAGAAUUCAAAAGAAAGAACACAGUCUGUUUGCUGGUCUGUUUCUUCACACUCAUAAUUCCCAGAGGGCUCUCUGGGGGUCUCGUUUUCUCAUGAAAAGGUGUUUUUGAAUGUAGGACCUAAAAUGAAGUCAAGGUGAAACCUGAAGCCUUAACAUAAAACCACCUUACCUCAGGAGCUAACCUCACCCCCAGGGAUAUCCUGUCUUGAGUUUUCCAACACCACACCUCUCUCCAAGCCAAAUGCCCGCACUGCAGGGACAUAGCAGAGUCUGAGACUGUACCAUAUUGCUGCGCUCCCUCUGGAUGUGAGCUUUUUGGAAAGAAACCAGCUCUUCCUGUCCUUUCUCCAAAGUACAAAACUGGGAGCACUGAGCACAGAGCAAUGCAGUCUUCUCAGGUUGCCCUUGAUACCUCCUGGAGAUAAAACGCUACCAUUUUUGAACACUUGAGGUCCUG
This 4984-nucleotide long non-coding RNA is filed under the name Sus scrofa (pig). Its description in RNAcentral is "lncRNA (ENSSSCG00025003038.1)". The record is from RNAcentral. Lineage: Eukaryota; Metazoa; Chordata; Mammalia; Artiodactyla; Suidae.